GGCGGAAGUGACUGAUCAAUUCAGGGGUGUGGGGUUCGUUUAGGUUUUGCCCUGUGUAUGACCUCUUUUGGAGCCAUGAAACCAGAGAACUCGAAUAUAGCAAUCAACAUAUGUCACUAUUGACCUCUGAAAAUAAAGGAGGAAGAGGAGAAAGGCAGUGUGGAGGUGGGAUUGGACAAAGGCAUGAUCCUUGGAGGAAAGGUUAUUUUAGGGCAAUGAUGGAAAGCACCAAGUGGAGCCUGGAGCUAGACUGAUCUGUGUUCAAUCCUGUCUUGGUUACUCAUUGCGGAGCCUUGACUUUCAUGUCUCUGUAAUGUCUCUGACAGUAUCUGCCUCACAGGGUUGCUGUGCAAAUCAAGCGAGAUGUCUGAGGAAUAGUCUUAGUGGAUUAUCCCAAACUUGACACAUUUUUUGCAAAAUGCUAUACAAAAAGAAGAUACAUGUGAUUAUGACAAGAUUCUCCACUUGGUGUGACCGGUCUCAUACAACCCAAGGCUGUGUGUCCAAACGCAAUUGCACUGAUCUUGACAAUAAUCAAAAUGUAGCCAGGUGCAUUGG
RNAcentral lists this long non-coding RNA (558 nucleotides) under Pongo abelii (Sumatran orangutan). RNAcentral describes it as "lincRNA". Lineage: Eukaryota; Metazoa; Chordata; Mammalia; Primates; Hominidae. The record is from RNAcentral.